AACGCGAAGAACCUUACCAGGACUUGACAUGGGAGUGCCGCGCGCAGAGAUGCGCGUUUCCGCGAGGACACUCCGCACAGGUGCUGCAUGGCUGUCGUCAGCUCGUGUCGUGAGAUGUUGGGUUAAGUCCCGCAACGAGCGCAACCCUUGUCUCAUGUUGCCAGCGCGUUAUGGCGGGGACUCGUGAGAGACUGCCGGGGUCAACUCGGAGGAAGGUGGGGAUGACGUCAAGUCAUCAUGCCCCUUAUGUCCAGGGCUUCACACAUGCUACAAUGGCCGGUACAAAGGGCUGCGAUGCCGUGAGGCUUAGCGAAUCCUUUAAAGCCGGUCUCAGUUCGGAUCGGGGUCUGCAACUCGACCCCGUGAAGUCGGAGUCGCUAGUAAUCGCAGAUCAGCAACGCUGCGGUGAAUACGUUCCCGGGCCUUGUACACACCGAGACGAC
This 443-nucleotide ribosomal RNA is filed under the name uncultured bacterium. RNAcentral describes it as "bacterial SSU rRNA". It matches the Rfam family "Bacterial small subunit ribosomal RNA", at positions 958 to 1398 of the family's 1533-position model. The record is from RNAcentral.